GAUGAACGCUGGCGGCGUGCCUAAUACAUGCAAGUCGAGCGAACGGACGAGAAGCUUGCUUUUCUGAUGUUAGCGGCGGACGGGUGAGUAACACGUGGAUAACCUACCUAUAAGACUGGGAUAACUUCGGGAAACCGGAGCUAAUACCGGAUAAUAUUUUGAACCGCAUGGUUCAAAAGUGAAAGACGGUCUUGCUGUCACUUAUAGAUGGAUCCGCGCUGCAUUAGCUAGUUGGUAAGGUAACGGCUUACCAAGGCAACGAUGCAUAGCCGACCUGAGAGGGUGAUCGGCCACACUAGAGCUGAGACACGGUCCAGACUCCUACGGGAGGCAGCAGUAGGGAAUCUUCCGCAAUGGGCGAAAGCCUGACGGAGCAACGCCGCGUGAGUGAUGAGGGUCUUCGGAUCGUAAAACACUGUUAUUAGGGAGGAACAUAUGUGUAAGUAACUGUGCACAGCUUGACGGUACCUAAUCGGAAAGCCACGGCUAACUACGUG
Molecule: ribosomal RNA, 497 nt
Filed under: uncultured bacterium
Lineage: Bacteria
Description: partial 16S ribosomal RNA
Rfam family: Bacterial small subunit ribosomal RNA
Source: RNAcentral